GAAUGCAUUUGAUUAUCAUGUGGAUGUUGCUGUUCAUCACCACCCAUUUCUAAUUAUAACAAAAACUCCAAUUACACAACAGUCAAAGUCGAUGUGAUUCAUGGUCAGACUACAGAAGAUCAAAUACGACAAAAGAAAAGGAAAAACCUUACCUACAGUCGAAGUUGUGCGUCGGCGUCGCUGCAGAAGCGGGCGGAGGCGGAGACCGGUCUGGUGGCAAUGGCGGCGGCUUGCAGAUCUGAGGGAGGCAGCCGGAAGAUCGGAGAUGGAG
This is a long non-coding RNA of Lactuca sativa (garden lettuce), 271 nucleotides long. RefSeq lists it as uncharacterized. NCBI's taxonomy places the organism in Eukaryota, Viridiplantae, Streptophyta, Magnoliopsida, Asterales, Asteraceae. The record is from RefSeq and is a predicted model, not a curated record.